This 281-nucleotide unclassified non-coding RNA is filed under the name uncultured Actinomycetes bacterium. RNAcentral describes it as "uncultured actinobacterium contains 16S-23S intergenic spacer region". The stretch from base 32 to 281 matches the Rfam family "Bacterial small subunit ribosomal RNA", at positions 944 to 1199 of the family's 1533-position model. Lineage: Bacteria; Bacillati; Actinomycetota; Actinomycetes. The record is from RNAcentral.
UCCGGAUAUACUCCGGCAGUCUCACUAAAGUGCUCAAUUCGAUGCAACGCGAAGAACCUUACCAGGCCUUGACAUGCGGGGUGAAACCGUAGAGAUACGGCGCUCCUCGGAGCCCGCACAGGUGGUGCAUGGCUGUCGUCAGCUCGUGCCGUGAGGUGUUGCCUUAAGUGGCGCAACGAGCGCAACCCCUGUCCUUAGUUGCCAGCGGGUAAUGCCGGGAACUCUAGGGAGACUGCCGGUGCCAAACCGGAGGAAGGUGGGGAUGACGUAGACCUUGGACC